UGGGGAAUAUUGGACAAUGGGCGAAAGCCUGAUCCAGCCAUGCCGCGUGUGUGAAGAAGGCCUUUUGGUUGUAAAGCACUUUAAGUGGGGAGGAAAAGCUUAUGGUUAAUACCCAUAAGCCCUGACGUUACCCACAGAAUAAGCACCGGCUAACUCUGUGCCAGCAGCCGCGGUAAUACAGAGGGUGCAAGCGUUAAUCGGAAUUACUGGGCGUAAAGCGCGCGUAGGUGGUUAUUUAAGUCAGAUGUGAAAGCCCCGGGCUUAACCUGGGAACUGCAUCUGAUACUGGAUAACUAGAGUAGGUGAGAGGGGAGUAGAAUUCCAGGUGUAGCGGUGAAAUGCGUAGAGAUCUGGAGGAAUACCGAUGGCGAAGGCAGCUCCCUGGCAUCAUACUGACACUGAGGUGCGAAAGCGUGGGUAGCAAACAGGAUUAGAUACCCUGGUAGUCCACGCCGUAAACGAUGUCUACCAGUCGUUGGGUCUUUUAAAGACUUAGUGACGCAGUUAACGCAAUAAGUAGACCGCCUGGGGAGUAGCGCAAUA
This 543-nucleotide ribosomal RNA is filed under the name uncultured bacterium. RNAcentral's name for it is "bacterial SSU rRNA". It matches the Rfam family "Bacterial small subunit ribosomal RNA", at positions 355 to 890 of the family's 1533-position model. The record is from RNAcentral.